CACAGCCGCGGUAAUUCCAGCUCCAAUAGCGUAUAUUAAAGUUGUUGCAGUUAAAAAGCUCGUAGUUGAAUUUCGGGGUUAGUAGUUUGGUCGUGCCAAUGGUAUGUACUGGGCUCACUGAUUCCUCCUUCCUGAUGAACUGUAAUGCCAUUAAUUUGGUGUUGCAGGGAAACAGGACUGUUACUUUAGAAAAAUUAGCGUGUUUAAAGCAGGCUAACGCUUGAAUACAUUAGCAUGGAAUAAUGAAAUAGGACGUUUGAUCCUAUUUUGUUGGUUUCUAGGAUCGACGUAAUGAUUAAUAGGGAUAGUUGGGGGCAUUAGUAUUCAAUUGUCAGAGGUGAAAUUCUUGGAUUUAUUGAAGACUAACUACUGCGAAAGCAUUUGCCAAGGAUGUUUUCAUUAAUCAAGAACGAAAGUUAGGGGAUCGAAGACGAUCAGAUACCGUCGUAGUCUUAACCAUAAACUAUGCCGACUAGGGAUCGGAUGAUGUUAAUUUUUAAUGACUCAUUCGCGCCUUAAC
Molecule: ribosomal RNA, 520 nt
Filed under: uncultured Glomus
Lineage: Eukaryota; Fungi; Glomeromycota; Glomeromycetes; Glomerales; Glomeraceae
Description: SSU rRNA
Rfam family: Eukaryotic small subunit ribosomal RNA
Source: RNAcentral